AGUUCCCUUAUUAUAAAAACUUGCUACAUUCCCUAGAUAACAAUAUGUAAAUUAAAAUAAUAUUAUUUACUUCUUCAAUGCCAUUAAAAGUAAAUAAACAAGUAAUCUGACAAAAACCAUGUUCUCUCUCAUCUCUUUCUCUCUGAUCUUUCUUCGACAUCCUCGAUUUAUUGUCGAUGCUCGCCGGACACGUAUUCUUGCUCCUCAUCUCGAGCUUGUUAAUAAAAGUUCUAGUUUGGUAGAAGUGGAUCUGAUUUUAGUAACACACAGUAUGUGUAGGAGGUCGGAUCAGGUGUCGGGGUAGAUGAUAAGGCUGGAAAGGUCUUUGAGACUGUUGACGACCCUCUGAGUACCAGUUGUCGGGAUAGAUGAUGUUGUCGGAGAGCUUCUUUCUCUCAGAUCGUCCACCUCGUAUUCCUCCUCCGAUGAGGAAGGUGUUGAUUCCAAUUUAUACAGCUUGUGAUGAUGACCGGAAGAGAAAAGCGAGAGACACAAGAAAUAGAAGUUGAAAGGAAACAAAUCUGAUUUUUUUUAAUUAUUUUAGGUUUUCUAAUAAAAUUAAUU
Long non-coding RNA from Tripterygium wilfordii, 564 nucleotides. RefSeq lists it as uncharacterized. Lineage: Eukaryota; Viridiplantae; Streptophyta; Magnoliopsida; Celastrales; Celastraceae. The record is from RefSeq and is a predicted model, not a curated record. The transcript has 2 exons.